GAUGAACGCUGGCGGCGUGCCUAAUACAUGCAAGUCGAGCGAACAGACGAGGAGCUUGCUCCUCUGACGUUAGCGGCGGACGGGUGAGUAACACGUGGAUAACCUACCUAUAAGACUGGGAUAACUUCGGGAAACCGGAGCUAAUACCGGAUAAUAUAUUGAACCGCAUGGUUCAAUAGUGAAAGACGGUUUUGCUGUCACUUAUAGAUGGAUCCGCGCCGCAUUAGCUAGUUGGUAAGGUAACGGCUUACCAAGGCAACGAUGCGUAGCCGACCUGAGAGGGUGAUCGGCCACACUGGAACUGAGACACGGUCCAGACUCCUACGGGAGGCAGCAGUAGGGAAUCUUCCGCAAUGGGCGAAAGCCUGACGGAGCAACGCCGCGUGAGUGAUGAAGGUCUUCGGAUCGUAAAACUCUGUUAUUAGGGAAGAACAAAUGUGUAAGUAACUAUGCACGUCUGGACGGUACCUAAGCAGAAAACCACGGCUAACUACGU
This 496-nucleotide ribosomal RNA is filed under the name uncultured bacterium. Its description in RNAcentral is "partial 16S ribosomal RNA". It matches the Rfam family "Bacterial small subunit ribosomal RNA", at positions 28 to 506 of the family's 1533-position model. The record is from RNAcentral.